GAUGAACGCUGGCGGCGUGCCUAAUACAUGCAAGUCGAGCGAACGGACGAGAAGCUUGCUUCUCUGAUGUUAGCGGCGGACGGGUGAGUAACACGUGGAUAACCUACCUAUAAGACUGGGAUAACUUCGGGAAACCGGAGCUAAUACCGGAUAAUAUUUUGAACCGCAUGGUUCAAAAGUGAAAGACGGUCUUGCUGUCACUUAUAGAUGGAUCCGCGCUGCAUUAGCUAGUUGGUAAGGUAACGGCUUACCAAGGCAACGAUGCAUAGCCGACCUGAGAGGGUGAUCGGCCACACUGGAACUGAGACACGGUCCAGACUCCUACGGGAGGCAGCAGUAGGGAAUCUUCCGCAAUGGGCGAAAGCCUGACGGAGCAACGCCGCGUGAGUGAUGAAGGUCUUCGGAUCGUAAAACUCUGUUAUUAGGGAAGAACAUAUGUGUAAGUAACUGUGCACAUCUUGACGGUACCUAAUCAGAAAGCCACGGCUAACUACGUGCCAGCAGCCGCGGUAAUACGUAGGUGGCAAGCGUUAUCCGGAAUUAUUGGGCGUAAAGCGCGCGUANGCGGUUUUUUAAGUCUGAUGUGAAAGCCCACGGCUCAACCGUGGAGGGUCAUUGGAAACCGGAAAACUUGAGUGCAGAAGAGGAAAGUGGAAUUCCAUGUGUAGCGGUGAAAUGCGCAGAGAUAUGGAGGAACACCAGUGGCGAAGGCGACUUUCUGGUCUGUAACUGACGCUGAUGUGCGAAAGCGUGGGGAUCAAACAGGAUUAGAUACCCUGGUAGUCCACGCCGUAAACGAUGAGUGCUAAGUGUUAGGGGGUUUCCGCCCCUUAGUGCUGCAGCUAACGCAUUAAGCACUCCGCCUGGGGAGUACGACCGCAAGGUUGAAACUCAAAGGAAUUGACGGGGACCCGCACAAGCGGUGGAGCAUGUGGUUUAAUUCGAAGCAACGCGAAGAACCUUACCAAAUCUUGACAUCCUUUGACAACUCUAGAGAUAGAGCCUUCCCCUUCGGGGGACAAAGUGACAGGUGGUGCAUGGUUGUCGUCAGCUCGUGUCGUGAGAUGUUGGGUUAAGUCCCGCAACGAGCGCAACCCUUAAGCUUAGUUGCCAUCAUUAAGUUGGGCACUCUAAGUUGACUGCCGGUGACAAACCGGAGGAAGGUGGGGAUGGCGUCAAAUCAUCAUGCCCCUUAUGAUUUGGGCUACACACGUGCUACAAUGGACAAUACAAAGGGCAGCGAAACCGCGAGGUCAAGCAAAUCCCAUAAAGUUGUUCUCAGUUCGGAUUGUAGUCUGCAACUCGACUACAUGAAGCUGGAAUCGCUAGUAAUCGUAGAUCAGCAUGCUACGGUGAAUACGUUCCCGGGUCU
This 1372-nucleotide ribosomal RNA is filed under the name uncultured bacterium. Its description in RNAcentral is "bacterial SSU rRNA". It matches the Rfam family "Bacterial small subunit ribosomal RNA", at positions 28 to 1381 of the family's 1533-position model. The record is from RNAcentral.